Long non-coding RNA from Acanthochromis polyacanthus (spiny chromis), 670 nucleotides. RefSeq lists it as uncharacterized. NCBI's taxonomy places the organism in Eukaryota, Metazoa, Chordata, Actinopteri, Pomacentridae. The transcript has 5 exons. The record is from RefSeq and is a predicted model, not a curated record.
GGGCGGAGACAGUCGCAGUGACAGACAGCAUCCAGCUCUGUAGUGGAUGAGAAGGAUAAAGGCUGCUCUGCCUCACUACGCAGCGUCGCAGUCACUAAUUAGUAAUUACUAGCCGUACUCGCUUUGAGUGUAACUUUCAAACUGUUCACUUACUUCGGCUUCUGCGUGUGGCGCAUGACUGGAGGGACGCGUCAGCAGCGACCUGGCAACUACAACCUCACGUUUGGAGGGUUUGUUAGAGGAGUGGGCUCUCCCUGCAGCGACCAACUUGCAUGCAAAACAACGGCAUUGAAGCUGAGGCUCGGAGUAUACAGCUCUUCACAGCGGGAGUCCACUUCGUCUGCAAGGACCGGGAUAAACGGGAGAAACUGAGGUGCAGUGCUCAAGAGUUGUGACUCUGCUCUAAUAAAUGUCAACCUUCUCUGAUAUUUGUAUGGGUCUUUCUCCUGAACCAAAGAUCUCCCCUGGCGGACUGAACAAACGACUCGACUCCAGAGCACCCAUCUUCAGUCUACUUGUGGUCUGACGGCACUCACCAACAUCAAAGACUUCACUCCCUGUGUUAUCUCUCCUCGAGGGAGCUUCACUUCACUUCACUUUGUCACUGAGCUCUCCGUUCUUCUUGCUGUUUCAUCCCUCUGCUUCCGUUAGAGUGGGGGAUGUCUGUUUU